UCCCCAAUACCAAGCUCCACUUUUAAAUGGCCAACCUCAGUACCAACCUCCAGUCCCAAACAUCCAAUCCUAAUACCAAGCUCCACAGCUAAAUAUCUUUCCCCAAUACCAAGUUCCACCUCUUAAUUAUCAGUCUCAUGUCCAAUCCACGCUUUCAAACAACCGAACAAAUAUCCAAGCACCUCCAAAUUAUCAUCAAGUACCUCCUCCUGCAAAGCAAAUCCAUUAUAACCCCCACAUCCAAACUACGAAAAGAAACCUCCCUAAAACUUCACACCAU
RNAcentral lists this long non-coding RNA (280 nucleotides) under Capsicum annuum. Its description in RNAcentral is "long non-coding RNA (CANN_LNC001556)". The record is from RNAcentral. Lineage: Eukaryota; Viridiplantae; Streptophyta; Magnoliopsida; Solanales; Solanaceae.